UUUAUCGGAGAGUUUGAUCCUGGCUCAGGACGAACGCUGGCGGCGUGCCUAAUACAUGCAAGUCGAGCGGACAGAUGGGAGCUUGCUCCCUGAUGUUAGCGGCGGACGGGUGAGUAACACGUGGGUAACCUGCCUGUAAGACUGGGAUAACUCCGGGAAACCGGGGCUAAUACCGGAUGCUUGUUUGAACCGCAUGGUUCAAACAUAAAAGGUGGCUUCGGCUACCACUUACAGAUGGACCCGCGGCGCAUUAGCUAGUUGGUGAGGUAAUGGCUCACCAAGGCGACGAUGCGUAGCCGACCUGA
Molecule: ribosomal RNA, 305 nt
Filed under: Bacillus subtilis
Lineage: Bacteria; Bacillati; Bacillota; Bacilli; Caryophanales; Bacillaceae
Description: partial 16S ribosomal RNA
Rfam family: Bacterial small subunit ribosomal RNA
Source: RNAcentral